GUAUUAGAGGAGUUAAGUCGUACCACGUUUCCGUAGGUGAACCUGCGGAAGGAUCAUUA
Molecule: ribosomal RNA, 59 nt
Filed under: Inosperma adaequatum
Lineage: Eukaryota; Fungi; Basidiomycota; Agaricomycetes; Agaricales; Inocybaceae
Description: partial 18S ribosomal RNA
Source: RNAcentral